AGCAGCUCCAACGUAGUGCGCGUCGUCGGGCGACAGUUUCGCGCCGAAAAAGACUUGGAGCUGAUGCGAUUGCCAUCAAACGCUCAGUGUAGCUCGUGUCGCCAAAGCGCCUUGUCACGCUCCGUUGUAGUCUUCAAGUGACGCUUAAAGUUUCUGUUGGAUAUUUUAUUGUUUCUGUAUUGAAGGUUUCCUGCCGAAGGCCCCAAUCAUCUGUGUAAAUAAGUGAACGUAACGAAUUUUUAAAAGCGCUGAGUCUACACAUAUUAAUGACUUAAAAAUCACACCUGAAACCACUACGCUGCCUUUAUUCGUAACCGGAGUUCGAAUUACACUGUGAAUUUAAAAGCACCGACUGCAUUUACAUUA
This is a long non-coding RNA of Rhagoletis zephyria (snowberry fruit fly), 366 nucleotides long. RefSeq lists it as uncharacterized. The record is from RefSeq and is a predicted model, not a curated record. Lineage: Eukaryota; Metazoa; Arthropoda; Insecta; Diptera; Tephritidae.